RNAcentral lists this long non-coding RNA (676 nucleotides) under Citrus maxima (pomelo). RNAcentral describes it as "long non-coding RNA (CMAX_LNC002090)". The record is from RNAcentral. Lineage: Eukaryota; Viridiplantae; Streptophyta; Magnoliopsida; Sapindales; Rutaceae.
CUUACACUUACUUAUGUUGAUGAAGAUGGUGACAUAGUAACUCUUGUUGAUGAUGAUGAUCUGUGUGAUGUAAUGAGGCAGCGUCUUAAGUUCUUGAGGAUUGAUGUGCACCUGAACAAUGACAAAUUUGGUAAAGCUUAUGCUAGAUCAAGUGGAAGUUCUACUCCCUUGAGAUCCCCGCGAAUCCAGCAUCCAUUACCUGACAUCGACAGUAAGAUUUCUGAAAUUCUGAAAUCUGUGCCAGAGCCACUGCGUGAAGCCAUAUCAAAGCUAUCUACUGACGUUGCUUCAAAGGCUGCAUCCACCAGUCCAAUGAUUGCUGAUCUUGUUGGGUGUUUUUCAAAAAUGGGCCUGUCCCACGUGAAUGUAGUUCCCCAGUCCCAAUAUGGUGCAGAAUCAAGUGGGAAGGCAGAGGCUUCUGAAAAUCUAAUGGCUCAUUCAGUUUCUAAUGAUCCAAAUGUGUCAAAAGAUGAUGGCCUGAGGGAAGUUUUGCCAAAGACAAACCUGAAGGAAGUUUUUCCAAAGACAAGCCUGAAGGAAGUUUUGCCAAAGACAACAGCUGUGGAUUCAACUUCUAAAAGUAGCAAAGAUGUUGAUAUUGGGAUUGCAGCUCGAGGCGUAGGAGUACUUCUCUCUUCUGUUGACCUCAAUCUUCCACCGGUUGAUUCUGCUCCAU